AUCUUGGCCACAUCGACUACCAAAGUAAUGGUCAAUGGGGAACCGGGAGAUACAAUCUACAACUACAAGGGAAUGCGACAAGGGGACUCACUAUCUCCUAUGUUGUUCAUACUCACCAUGGAACUGCUACAGAGAUUGUUUGACGUAGCUAUAGACUGAGGUAUGUUGGAGCCCUUGGCUACGGUGGGCAUGAAGCAAAGGCUGUCAAUAUACGCGGAUGAUGUGCUCUUGUUCAUAUAA
RNAcentral lists this ribosomal RNA (240 nucleotides) under Triticum aestivum (bread wheat). RNAcentral's name for it is "partial small subunit ribosomal RNA". Lineage: Eukaryota; Viridiplantae; Streptophyta; Magnoliopsida; Poales; Poaceae. The record is from RNAcentral.